GGGGGGCGGGGGGAUAAAAGGAGGGUGCUGCGGAGACAGUCUACAGAGGAUCAUGAUCAGGCUGAAGUAUGAGUAGGACUCUGCUGUGGCUGCUGGCCUCUCUGGCGUCUCUGGCCUCUUUCUCUCUGACCUCUCUGAUGGUGCUCCAUUGAAGGUGAUGUCAGCCCCUAACUUGUUGCGGGUGGGGACAGCAGAAAACAUCUUCGUGGAGUGUCAGGACUGCACCGGGGG
Molecule: long non-coding RNA, 231 nt
Organism: Etheostoma cragini (Arkansas darter)
Lineage: Eukaryota; Metazoa; Chordata; Actinopteri; Perciformes; Percidae
Exons: 2
Source: RefSeq, a predicted model, not a curated record